AUUGAACGCUGGCGGCAUGCUUUACGCAUGCAAGUCGAACGGCAGCGGGGAGGAGCUUGCUUCUCUGCCGGCGAGUGGCGCACGGGUGAGUAAUACAUCGGAACGUGUCGAGAAGAGGGGGAUAACCACCCGAAAGGGUGGCUAAUACCGCAUAAAUUCUGAGGAAGAAAGCUGGGGACCUAGGAAUAGGCCUAGCGCUUUUUGAGCGGCCGAUGUCGGAUUAGCUAGUUGGUGAGGUAAAGGCUCACCAAGGCGAAGAUCUGUAGCGGGUCUGAGAGGAUGAUCCGCCACACUGGGACUGAGACACGGCCCAGACUCCUACGGGAGGCAGCAGUGGGGAAUUUUGGACAAUGGGGGCAACCCUGAUCCAGCCAUGCCGCGUGUAUGAAGAAGGCCUUAGGGUUGUAAAGUACUUUUGUUAGGGAAGAAAAGUCAGCUGUGAAUAAUGGCUGAUACUGACGGUACCUAAAGAAUAAGCACCGGCUAACUACGUG
RNAcentral lists this ribosomal RNA (494 nucleotides) under uncultured bacterium. Its description in RNAcentral is "partial 16S ribosomal RNA". It matches the Rfam family "Bacterial small subunit ribosomal RNA", at positions 30 to 507 of the family's 1533-position model. The record is from RNAcentral.